Non-coding RNA from Paramuricea clavata, 751 nucleotides. The record is from the annotation of a GenBank genome assembly. NCBI's taxonomy places the organism in Eukaryota, Metazoa, Cnidaria, Anthozoa, Malacalcyonacea, Plexauridae.
AAAACCAUGAAGGCAAGUUACUAGGACUACCCUGGAACCGAGAAAAGGACAUACUCAGUGUUGAAAUGAGCGCAGCAGACUGUUCAUCAAAGAGAUCAGUACUAUCGGAACUUGCUAAAAUUUACGACCCCUUGGGUUUAGUCUCCCCAUCCACACUAGUCGCCAAGUUGCUUUAUCGGGAAAUCUGUGACGCAAAGAUAUCCUGGGAUGAAACUUUACCUGAAAGCAAUCUGAAAGUGUGGAAGAAAUGCAAAGAGUUGCUACAAGGAAGUUUCGUCGUACCUCGUUCCCUCGCGCCACAUCAUCUCCAGAUCUCAGAGAUAUGGCUUCACGCGUUUGGAGAUGCAAGCUCAAAAGGAGUGUGUGCUGUAGUUUAUGCGGUGGUCCACCAACAGGAAGAAGUAACUCAAGGUCUUGUGUGUGCUAAAUCCCGCAUAGCAAAACGGAACUUGACUAUACCCCGCUUAGAACUGAUAGCAGGUCAUAUGGCGGUCAAUCUUGUUAUCAACGUAAACGCAGCCCUAACCAUCCCCCUUAUCCACAUUCACUGUUGGCUAGACUCAACCGUGGCGCUAUAUUGGAUAAAAGGGAAAGGUGACUACCGACAAUUCUUGACGAAUCGGGUGCAGAAGAUACGACAGCAUGGCGAAGUGAAUGGCAUCAUGUGCCUACGAGAGAGAAUCCCGCUGAUCUAGGAAGUAGGGGAGGCAACGUUAAGGACAACCAAUUGUGGAAAGAAGGCCCAGCUUGG